Molecule: long non-coding RNA, 4674 nt
Organism: Equus caballus (horse)
Lineage: Eukaryota; Metazoa; Chordata; Mammalia; Perissodactyla; Equidae
Source: RefSeq, a predicted model, not a curated record
CAAAAGGCAAAAAGUAUCUCUUUUUCAUUGAGCUUUUGUCAUUAUAGUUUAUUUGCUCUGUUCUAAUAGUGUUCUUAUUUCUUUUCCAGUUUUAAAACUUUGUGAUAUAUAUAUUCCAAGGAGGAAGCAAAUUAUGUGAUUGGCUUAACAUUACUCAGUUAAAAAUAAAUUCUUUGUUACUAAACUUAAAAAUACUAUUUCAUGUUUACUAUGGCUUGUUGUCUUUAAGUUGUGAUAAAAAUUACAACAAAGGCAUUUAUGUUUCCAGGUAAAAAAUGUUGCAUAUAUGAACUGAAAAUUAUUGUCAUCAUUAAACAUGUAACUGGGAAGGUAUACUGACAGUCUAGCUAAUAUUAACACACAUACCUCCCAAAAAAGUCACUGAAAUGUUUGUGACUCAGAGCACUUUUGGACAAAUCCUAUUUAACAUGUUAUGUGAUAUCUCUUGCUUCAGAUAAAUGGGCUUAUUUCUGUCACUAGAAAUAGUGACAAUAAAUGUAUCCUUCUGGUAUUUUGACCCAAGUGCUUUUAAUAUUAAUGUUGAAUAUUUGUUCGUCUUGGAUUUUAUUCUCUUUUUAUGCUUGAAAUUUAUAUUAUCCAAGAGUAGAAUUAUUAUGUAACUUUUGUAAAGAGAUUCUUUUGUAGCAAAUUCUCCAUAGGUAAAAAUAUAGACAACUCAAAAUAGUUCUAACAGAUUUCAGAUAUGGAUUAUGUGUUCUGAUUUUAUCUAGUGGGAAUUGAAGUAUUAAUUAAAUUGGCCCUUCUGCCACAGAAAUAUGGUUCUACAUGUAAUUGACUGCAUGUGAUGUUAAUUACAUGAAUAAGGUAGAGAUAGAAACUUUGGGAAUUAAAUUCUAUUUAAUAUUUAAGUAUCACUCCUUUGAUAUUAACAAGUAUUCUGUUUAAUUCAUAUAUUAUAGCUCUUUUCAAGGUAAGUAAAAUUUCUUCUUGACUUCAUGAAAUUCACAUUCAAAUUUAUAAAAUUUUCACAUUAAGUUAUUGCAUUGCAAAGCCCAUAUUAUCUUAGAUUCUUAGUGAGGAACUAGUGGUAUAGUCAAAAUAAAUAAUUUAAGUGAUAUUUUCUUUAAUGUAGAAAAUAGGUUCAUUUCUGAAAUAGAGAUCUGUGCUGUAAAUCCUGUAAAUUAGAACCUGUUUGCCUAUUGAAUUCUAUUGUAUAUCUGAAUUACUCUUUGGAAAAAUGUAUGCCACAAUCUGGUUUAGCUGUGACACUGCUUUUAUGAGCAGAGCAGGGAGAUUUUCAUAGCAACAAUGUAGCAUUUUUCUCUAGUGACCCACCCACUUAUCUCCUGGGAAAUUUUUGUACCUCUCUAUUCUGUAUGUUCUGGCUUACUUAUGUUGGAAUGUCCCAGGGCUUGAGUACAAUGUAACAGCUAACUUUUUGGACCUCCUACUGCAUGUCAGGUAUAAUUCCAGGCACUUUACAGGGAUAAUCUAACUCUAUAAAGUAGAAUGUAUUAACCCCAUUUCCAGAUGAGGAAACUGAAGAGCAGAGAGCUCCCGUUGCUGGGAAGUACUUGAGAACACAGUUUGAUUCCAGAGCUGAGCUUAGGACCUCUAUGCAAUGCUGCCUUCUCAUUUUCUAGACUAGAGCUCCUCAAUCAUGAAUGGGUUACAAGUGUGCUCAGAUAUGGGUCCCCUCAGCCUUUGGAGAUGCUGGGCAGGACCGGGAGCCCAGCACAUCCAGUCUGUUCCUAAUGCUGUGAGCAGCUUUAUCCAUUUCUGCCAGUGUGCUACACAAAGAUGAUUGUUUUCUACAUGUGCCAUGAUGUGAAAAAGUUCAACAAGCACACUGCCCUAGAGCAAAGAAAAUAUUUAGAGAUAAAUAUACUAGCUGUGUUUCCUAAUUUGCAACUGACAAAUAAAUUUUCAGAUUCAGCAAUGCUCUGGCAAGGGAUAAUUUGUGUACCUUAUUUAAUUCUACUUUACGUUGCUUCUUGUCCAAGUAUUACAUAUGACGAAAGGUUUGAGAGCAAAGGGUAAUAAUUUCUUAUUGAUAUUUUGUUAUGAUUCAUAUUAAUGUUCAUAACUUUACAUUAGGCAACAUUUACCCUAGCUAGAGUUAUCAUGAAGUCUUUACAUCAUUAAAACUGAAUUUAUUUAAUUAUUCUUGAUAAAUCAUUUUUACUGUUUAUGUAAACUGCCUACUUAUUAGUUAAUCAGAAUUGGAAAAUGUUUAGGUUUGAAUGCUGAGGUAGUACAAAGCACAUGGGGGGUGCACAAGGUUAAUAAGGGAACGCUUUUGGAAGAAGUAAUGCUUGCAAGUUUAAAAAACAUGAUGGAAUAGGUAUGCUUGUUGAUGAGGAAAGCUGUGGGUUGUUAAGGAGAGCUUGCGCAGCGCUGAAAUGACUUUGGAGACUUCACAUCACUUCAGUGCCAGAAUGAAAGAAAGACAAAAUAGUUUAGAAUCCCUGGGAACCUUAGAACAGCUCAUGGGAACCCAAUUGAUAAUCUCAACUGGUUUAAAUAAAACAGUAGUCACGCAUAAACACUUGCACUCAAAUGUUUUCAUUGAGUUUAAAAUGAAUUUUCACAGUGCAUUAAUCAUGGAUGCUCAUCUGGAAGUGUGGUUUGUGGUUUUCCAUAUUUUACCUCAAUAGAAGUUUUCAGCUAGAGAUAAACAUGUUACAGAUAAGCCAAAGAGGAAGAAAUUCAUUUCCUCUUGAUUGCAACAGUCAGAGAAUGAUUGCCCACUUGUUCGAUCUGUUUUAGUACUUUGGUGGCACCAUUUUUGGAGCUUUGACUAUCUGUUGACUGGUCUGAAUAUGUGAUUACACAAGAAAUACCAGGGAGGGGACAGCAAAGGUGACUCUGAUGUUGUAAGCUUCACUGACUCAAUAAUAAUGGGCCAUUGUCACUGAAAGUAUUUCCUCGAAGAGGAGCUGAUUGGUAUGUUUGGAGUGGUAAGGAUGAUGAAUUCUUUGGGGAACAUGUAGCUCUAAAGGAGCUAGGAGAUCCAAGUGGAGAUUUCAUGAAUGUAUUUGGAAAUACUUGCCUGGAGUCAUGUGGAGAGAUUAGAACUGGAGGUUUUAAAUUGGAAGUCAUCUACUCACAGCCGUAGGGGUGAGAAAGACCAUCUCUCCAAGGAAAAAAGAAAGAUAAACUAAAAGGCCUGAUCACAUUACCAGGAUAACUACCAUCACAGGAGGAGAAAGCUGGGCAACAAAGAAGAUAGCCAUCCUGACCUCCUUGAUGUUCCUGAACCCACCAAACAUAGCCCCCUCAGGGCUUGUACCUUCAAUCUUCACUCUGGAAUGUUCUUCCCACAGAGUUAGAGGUGUCCUUUGUGCUCCCAUUAUACUCUAUGUUUCUGAUGCUACAUUCACCAUAGAGUAUGACACUUACCUGUUUAGGUUCUUGUCUGACCUGCUACACAAUACAUAUUCAUUGAACGAAUGAAUGGCAGAAGUGGAAUGAAAAGAGAUUGUGCUCAGCAUCACAUUUCAGAAAUCAACAUCUUGGAGUUCUCAUAAAUUGGUCAGAUGACAUCUUAUUUCAAGGAUGCCCAUUGUGUGUCAGGCCUUCCUGGAACAAAGACCAGACAUUUUUAAACAAUGUCAACAGGACUCUCUCCAUUUUGGGCUCAGAUUUUCUAAGUACUGGCUUCAUCUUCAGGCAGGCUUUCUCUAAAUGGCAGCAAAGUCAACAUUCACUCCACAAAAAUGAUUCUGUCUCUGCUGAGGUCACUUGCCUACCUCUGUGAAACUAGGGGAGGAGAGGCCUCUUAUGGGACUACCCAGGAGAGAGAUGGGGACAGUUUUGAAAGCAGAGAAUGAUAUGGGGGCAAAACCAAAAAGUAACAAGUCCAUUCUAGAAAUCAUAAAAGAAGCCAUCAAGUGGCAUAGCGACCUGAAAUAAUAGUAAGGAGCAGAAGGAGAAAAGGAGUAAAUUCAAUCUGCCUCUUCUCCAUCUUACUGUCAAAAUUACAAUCUGCUGUCAGGAGGAAGGAUUCUGGGUCCCAGGAUUGUCUCUGUUGUCUGUUUGAGGUUCCAUAGAUGAAGGAGAGUUGAAAAAUCAUCAGCUGUCAAUAAACCCACUUGUCAGCAUUAGAAUAUUUAGCCUCAGUAUUUUCAUCUUUUCAAACCUUGCUUUUGGUUUGAUAUGAAAAUAAAAUAUAUGAAAACUUUAUGCAAACUUCAUAAAGUUCUCUAAUGUCAUAUAUAAAAUGAUAUCAGUACAGCAUGGGCUUUGUAAAUAGAUCCAGGUUCAAAGCCUGCUCUACCAUUUGCAAUCUGCGUGAAGCUGAGACAGAUGACUUAAGCUUUUGUGUCUCAUUCUCUCAGGUACUUACCUUAGGGGUUAAAGGAAAAGCAUUUGGAACAUUGUCCAGUGCAACAGUCAAUACUGAGUGAUUAUGGAUUAUUUGCGUCAACAGUUUUCAGCUUGAGAAUCGCAGCUCCUUAGUGAUCAGCCUCACGACUCCUCUCCCAAAUGAGAAACAUAAGGCUUCGAGAGGGCCGCACACCGCACAUGUCAGAAAUUCCCCGUCAAGGGCGUGGCAGCACAACAGGCUGAAUCCCUUCAAGGGUAAAUGGCGAGCUCAGUGAUUCCUGUGGUUGGAAUUUUUCUUUUAUAAUCAAAAUAGUAAGAAUAUUUGAUUAAUUUUCUGUGAAGCUGUGCCUGUAAAUUAAGAAUUAUGAAUGCCCAAAUAUGCAC